RNAcentral lists this ribosomal RNA (429 nucleotides) under Bacteroidota bacterium. RNAcentral's name for it is "Bacteroidetes bacterium partial 16S ribosomal RNA". It matches the Rfam family "Bacterial small subunit ribosomal RNA", at positions 355 to 776 of the family's 1533-position model. The record is from RNAcentral. Lineage: Bacteria; Pseudomonadati; Bacteroidota.
UAGGGAAUCUUCCGCAAUGGACGCAAGUCUGACGGAGCAACGCCGCGUGAGUGAAGAAGGAUUUCGGUUCGUAAAACUCUGUUGUUAGAGAAGAACAGCGCAUAGAGUAACUGUUAUGCGUGUGACGGUAUCUAACCAGAAAGCCACGGCUAACUACGUGCCAGCAGCCGCGGUAAUACGUAGGUGGCAAGCGUUGUCCGGAUUAUUUGGGCGUAAAGCGAGCGCAGGCGGUCAAUUAAGUCUGAUGUGAAAGCCCCCGGCUCAACCGGGGAGGGUCAUUGGAAACUGGUUGACUUGAGUGCAGAAGAGGAGAGUGGAAUUCCAUGUGUAGCGGUGAAAUGCGUAGAUAUAUGGAGGAACACCAGUGGCGAAGGCGACUCUCUGGUCUGUAACUGACGCUGAGGUUCGAAAGCGUGGGUAGCAAACAGG